AUUGAACGCUGGCGGCCGGCCUAACACAUGCAAGUCGAACGAGUGGCGGAAGGGUGAGUAAUGUCUGGGAAACUGCCCGAGGGAGGGGGAUAACUACUGGAAACAGUAGCUAAUACCGCAUACCCUCGGAUGUGCCCAGAUGGGAUUAGCUAGUAGGUGGGGUAACGGCUAACCUAGUCGACGAUCCCUAGCUGGUCUGAGAGGAUGACCAGCCACACUGGAACUGAGACAGGGUCCAGACUCCUACGGGAGUAAGCCGUGGGGAAUAUUGCACAAUGGGCGCAAGCCUGAUGCAGCCAUGCCGCGUGUAUGAAGAAGGCCUUCGGGUUGUAAAGUACUUUCAGCGAGGAGGCGUUACUCGCAGAAGAAGCACCGGCUAACGCCGUGCCAGCAGCCGCGGUAAUAC
This 406-nucleotide ribosomal RNA is filed under the name uncultured bacterium. Its description in RNAcentral is "partial 16S ribosomal RNA". It matches the Rfam family "Bacterial small subunit ribosomal RNA", at positions 30 to 526 of the family's 1533-position model. The record is from RNAcentral.